GACGAACGCUGGCGGCGCGCUUAACACAUGCAAGUCGAACGGGAAGUCCUGCUUUCCCUGGUGGAUUGCGCGUACUCGAGUGGCGCACGGGUUUGUAACCCGUGAGUCAUCCGCCACGGAGUGGGGAAUACGGCUGGGGACCUGGGACUAAUGAUUGAUCGGCCUGCGGGGGGGCGCCGGUGGUUGAGAUCGUAGAUUUAGUGCCUGUGGAUGAGCGCGCGUGGGAUUAGCUAGUUGGUGGGGUAAUAGCCUACCAAGGCGACGAUGCAUAGCCGGUCUGGGAGGCUGAUCAGCCACACUGGGACUGAGACACGGCCCCGACUCCUACGGGAGGCAGCAGUGGGGAAUAUUGGACAAUGGGCGAAAGCCUGAUCCAGCAAUGCCGCGUGAGUGAUGAAGGCCUUAGGGUUGUAAAGCUCUUUUACCCGGGAUGAUAAUGACAGUACCGGGAGAAUAAGCACCGGCUAACUCCGUG
Molecule: ribosomal RNA, 475 nt
Filed under: uncultured bacterium
Lineage: Bacteria
Description: partial 16S ribosomal RNA
Rfam family: Bacterial small subunit ribosomal RNA
Source: RNAcentral